RNAcentral lists this ribosomal RNA (253 nucleotides) under uncultured bacterium. Its description in RNAcentral is "partial 16S ribosomal RNA". It matches the Rfam family "Bacterial small subunit ribosomal RNA", at positions 524 to 776 of the family's 1533-position model. The record is from RNAcentral.
UACGAAGGGGGCUAGCGUUACUCGGAAUUACUGGGCGUAAAGGGCGCGUAGGCGGCUCUGCAAGUCAGGCGUGAAAUUCCUGGGCUCAACCUGGGGACUGCGCUUGAGACUGUUGGGCUAGAGGAUGGAAGAGGGUCGUGGAAUUCCCAGUGUAGAGGCGAAAUUCGUGGAUAUUGGGAAGAACACCGGUGGCGAAGGCGGCGACCUGGUCCAUUACUGACGCUGAGGCGCGACAGCGUGGGGAGCAAACAGG